UACGGAAGGGGGCUAGCGUUGUUCGGAUUUACUGGGCGCAAAGCGCACGUAGGCGGAUCGUUAAGUCGGGGGUGAAAUCCUGGAGCUCAACUCCAGAACUGCCUUCGAUACUGGCGAUCUUGAGUCCGGAAGAGGUGAGUGGAACUCCGUAGUGUAGAGGUGGAAUUCGUAGAUAUUAGGAAGAACACCAGUGGCGAAGGGCGGACUCGCUGGUCCGGUACUGACGCUGAGGUGGCGAAAAGCGUGGGGAGCCAA
This 255-nucleotide ribosomal RNA is filed under the name uncultured bacterium. RNAcentral describes it as "partial 16S ribosomal RNA". It matches the Rfam family "Bacterial small subunit ribosomal RNA", at positions 524 to 772 of the family's 1533-position model. The record is from RNAcentral.